RNAcentral lists this long non-coding RNA (842 nucleotides) under Pan troglodytes (chimpanzee). Its description in RNAcentral is "long non-coding RNA NONPTRT000798". The record is from RNAcentral. Lineage: Eukaryota; Metazoa; Chordata; Mammalia; Primates; Hominidae.
CACCUGUGGGACUUUAUUAGAUAAACACACACCAGCUCCAGCCACAGGCUUGGACCGGCCAGCCGACAGUGCGGCCUCAGACACCCCUGCCAGGUUCCCUGGCCACGGCUGGAAGCAGUGUUCAGGCCGCCCCACUUCUGUCUAGUCCUGACAGGCCCCGGCUCACCUGGCUCUGCUGUGGGAGCCAAGAACAAAGACCCCGCCUGCCCCACUCCUUCUGCCCCAGGGGCUCAGCCAGCACCCACCCUCCCAGUGGCCUGGGCAGGGGCUGGGGUACAAAGCCUCACCCUCCCCCUGUGAGCCAGACGGAAAAUGCAUCUCCCAAGAGUGUCUCGAGGGGCAGGAAGGAGGCCUGCCCCUCCCUAGCCAGUGCCUACAACAGGGGGUGUCCUGAGGGGCAGAACGGCUGACCCCCACCACAAGACAUCCUGGGGGACAGAGGCCCUGGGCACAGCCCAGUCCCCACCCAGGAGCAUAUCCUAAAUGUGCAGGGGCCGGCAAGGCAGGGGUAGGAGGGUCCGCGGCCAGGCUCCAUGAAGUGCGAGUCUCGCCUUGGACUCGGGAUAGGGGGUGCUCAACCCCGCGCCCAGGCCCCCUCGCCUUCAGCCAGCGCAUCUUCUGUCGGUACUGCUGGACAGCAUCUUGCACACAGGCGUCCAUCAUGGCCUCGGUCAGGACCCCGUCCUUGGAGCCAUACGCCGUGGCCUAGUGGGGAGAGAGGGAGCUGAGGGAGGCCGCCAUGGGAACCCCCCACCCCAAAAUGCACGCCAGGGCCCCGAGGUGGGGAGGGGCCAAACCAGGGGCUCCAGGAUGGCCUGAGCGUGAAACACAGGCUUCCCGCA